GGGCUCACUUUAGCAGCACAUGUGCUAAAAUUGGAACGAUAGAAGAUAAGCACGGUCCCUGCGCAAGGGUGAUGUGCAAAUUCGUGAAGCGUUCCAUAUUUUU
Nycticebus coucang (slow loris) is the source of this 103-nucleotide small nuclear RNA. Lineage: Eukaryota; Metazoa; Chordata; Mammalia; Primates; Lorisidae. The record is from RefSeq and is a predicted model, not a curated record.